RNAcentral lists this ribosomal RNA (633 nucleotides) under uncultured Actinomycetes bacterium. RNAcentral's name for it is "bacterial SSU rRNA". It matches the Rfam family "Bacterial small subunit ribosomal RNA", at positions 433 to 1060 of the family's 1533-position model. Lineage: Bacteria; Bacillati; Actinomycetota; Actinomycetes. The record is from RNAcentral.
CGAAAGUCGGGAAAGAAAUCCUACGGGGGAAUAUCCCGUGGGGAUGACGGUACCCGACGUAAGCCCCGGCUAACUACGUGCCAGCGGCCGCGGUAACACGUAGGGAGCAAGCGUUGUCCGGAUUUAUUGGGCGUAAAGAGCUCGUAGGUGGUUCCGUAAGUCAGGUGUGAAACCUCCAGGCUCAACCUGGAGACGCCACCUGAUACUGCGGUGACUGGAGUCCGGUAGGGGAGCGUGGAAUUCCUGGUGUAGCGGUGAAAUGCGCAGAUAUCAGGAGGAACACCAGCGGCGAAGGCGGCGCUCUGGGCCGGUACUGACACUGAGGAGCGAAAGCGUGGGUAGCAAACAGGAUUAGAUACCCUGGUAGUCCACGCCGUAAACGUUGGGCACUAGGUGUGGGUCUCAACCAACGGGAUCUGUGCCGUAGCUAACGCAUUAAGUGCCCCGCCUGGGGAGUACGGCCGCAAGGCUAAAACUCAAAGGAAUUGACGGGGGCCCGCACAAGCGGCGGAGCAUGUUGCUUAAUUCGAGGCAACGCGAAGAACCUUACCUGGGCUUGACAUGUAGGGAAAAGCCGUAGAGAUACGGUGUCCUUCGGGGCCCUACACAGGUGGUGCAUGGCUGUCGUCAGCU